CAGUCGCCGCGGGAAUACGAAGGGGGCUAGCGUUGCUCGGAAUCACUGGGCGUAAAGGGUGCGUAGGCGGGUCUUUAAGUCGGGGGUGAAAUCCUGGAGCUCAACUCCAGAACUGCCUUUGAUACUGAAGAUCUUGAGUUCGGGAAAGGUGAGUGGAACUGCGAGUGUAGAGGUGAAAUUCGUAGAUAUUCGCAAGAACACCAGUGGCGAAGGCGGCUCACUGGCCCGAUACUGACGCUGAGGCACGAAAGCGUGGGGAGCAAACAGGAUUAGAUACCCCUGUAGUCCCUGUCUCUUAUAU
RNAcentral lists this ribosomal RNA (301 nucleotides) under uncultured bacterium. Its description in RNAcentral is "partial 16S ribosomal RNA". It matches the Rfam family "Bacterial small subunit ribosomal RNA", at positions 509 to 809 of the family's 1533-position model. The record is from RNAcentral.